RNAcentral lists this ribosomal RNA (829 nucleotides) under uncultured bacterium. RNAcentral describes it as "bacterial SSU rRNA". It matches the Rfam family "Bacterial small subunit ribosomal RNA", at positions 21 to 872 of the family's 1533-position model. The record is from RNAcentral.
GGCUCAGAGCGAACGCUAGCGGCGGGCCUAACACAUGCAAGUCGAGCGGGGAGCUUCGGCUCCUAGCGGCGGACGGGUGAGUAACGCGUAGGUCACGUACCCUCUGGUGGGGAAUAACCGUGGGAAACCAUGGCUAAUACCGCAUGUGGCCCUUCGGGGUCAAAGCCUUCGGGCGCCAGAGGAGCGGCCUGCGUCCCAUUAUUUAGUCCUAGUUGGUGAGGUAACGGCUCACCAAGGGUACGAUGGGUAGCUGGUCUGAGAGGAUGAUCAGCCACACUGGGACUGAGACACGGCCCAGACUCCUACGGGAGGCAGCAGUGGGGAAUAUUGCGCAAUGGGCGAAAGCCUGACGCAGCCACGCCGCGUGAGUGAUGAAGGCCUUCGGGUUGUAAAGCUCUGUCGGGAGGGACGAAGGGGGCAACCCCUGACGGUACCUCGCAAGAAAGCACCGGCUAACUCUGUGCCAGCAGCCGCGGUAAUACAGAGGGUGCAAGCGUUGCUCGGAUUUACUGGGCGUAAAGCGUACGCAGACGGCUUGGUAGGUCGGAUGUGAAAGCCCCGGGCUCAACCCGGGAACUGCAUCCGAAACCACCUGGCUAGAGUGUGGGAGAGGGAAGCGGAAUUCCUGGUGUAGAGGUGAAAUUCGUAGAUAUCAGGAGGAACACCGGCGGCGAAGGCGGCUUCCUGGCCCAUUACUGACGUUCAGGUACGAAAGCGUGGGCAGCAAACAGGAUUAGAUACCCUGGUAGUCCACGCCGUAAACGAUGUGUGCUGGAUGUCGGGGGUAUUCACCCCCUCGGUAUCGAAGCCAACGCGAUAAGCACACCGC